Molecule: small RNA, 536 nt
Filed under: Pongo abelii (Sumatran orangutan)
Lineage: Eukaryota; Metazoa; Chordata; Mammalia; Primates; Hominidae
Description: retained intron
Source: RNAcentral
GGCGAAGAAGUGACCAUCCCGCCUCGUGUCUGUGUCCGUCCCUCAGGGCCAGCGGCUCCAGGGCCAGCCACGAUGUCCUCCACCGUGAACAACGGGGCGGCCAGCAUGCCGUCCCCACCUGACGCCGCGAACGGCUUCCCGCAGCCCAGCGCCUCCUCGGGGACCUGGCCGCGGGCGGAGGAGGAGCUGCGCGCCGCGGAGCCGGGCCUGGUGAAGCGCGCGCACCGCGAGAUCCUGGACCACGAGCGCAAGCGGCGGGUGGAGCUCAAGUGCAUGGAGCUACAGGAGAUGAUGGAGGAGCAGGGGUAUUCGGAGGAGGAGAUUCGGCAGAAAGUGGGGACAUUCCGGCAGAUGCUGAUGGAGAAGGAGGGAGUGCUCACCAGGGAGGACCGGCCUGGGGGCCACAUUGUGGCGGAGACCCCGCGGCUGACCGAGGGCGCUGAGCCGGGCCUGGAGUACGCGCCCUUUGACGAUGACGACGGCCCAGUGGACUGUGACUGCCCGGCCGCCUGCUACCGCGGCCACCGCGGGUACAG